Molecule: ribosomal RNA, 207 nt
Filed under: uncultured bacterium
Lineage: Bacteria
Description: partial 16S ribosomal RNA
Rfam family: Bacterial small subunit ribosomal RNA
Source: RNAcentral
CGCGUAGGCGGCCGAGCAAGGUCGUGGUGAAAGCCCGGGGCUCAACCCCGGGUCGGCCAUGGCAACUACUCGGCUCGAGCACGGUAGAGGCGGGUGGAAUUCCGGGUGUAGCGGUGGAAUGCGUAGAGAUCCGGAAGAACACCGGUGGCGAAGGCGGCCCGCUGGGCCGUGGCUGACGCUGAGGCGCGACAGCGUGGGGAGCAAACA